Molecule: transfer RNA, 92 nt
Filed under: candidate division CPR3 bacterium
Lineage: Bacteria; candidate division CPR3
Description: tRNA-Ser
Rfam family: tRNA
About the family: Transfer RNA (tRNA) molecules are approximately 80 nucleotides in length. Their secondary structure includes four short double-helical elements and three loops (D, anti-codon, and T loops).
Source: RNAcentral
GGAGGGUUGGCCGAGUGGUCUAAGGCGACGGUUUGCUAAACCGUUGAGGCCUAAAAAGCCUCGCACAGGUUCAAAUCCUGUACCCUCCGCUA